AGUUCUUCUGGUAGAGACACAAACAUCUCAUUUGGACUCCACAGAACUUUCAUCCACUCAUUCACUGUCCAAUUCCUGUGUGAUUUUGUAAUUGGACUGAGGAAGUUGCAUAGAAAACCUGGGUUAGGGUUUAGCUAAAAAGAAAAACAAAAGAUUAUGUGUCUGUUCCAAAUUAUUCACAGGGACUGUCUGUGGUGCUUGUUUAUCCUUUAGUGGAGCUGUGAUUCAGACAGAACAAGAGAGAGAGAGAGAGAGAGAGAGAGAGAGAGAGAGACAGAAAUAGAGAAAGAGAGAGAGCGCUGAUCCAGCAGGAGGAAAAUGUUUAGUGAUGCAGGAAUGAGUGCUGACCGGACGAUCUCCCUCUGCUCAUGAGAGAGAGCUGCACAAGAUCAACCCGUGGAUCUGCUCCAAAAAGCUUCAAGUCAGAAAAAUCUGACAAAGAAAAUCUCUUACACUCCAAUUCCUUUAUUAUCUAAAGCAAAAUAAAACUUCGCGCAUGCGCACUACAAUGGAACGCAGAACACUACUGAUCCGAGCUGUUUGCACUUUCUGAUCACAACUUUUAAUAAAUAAACAUAUUAUUUAUAUAUUAAUAAAGAGAAUGUUAAUAAAUAAUAACACAUCUGAUCUUACCGAAAUAAAAGGAAAGCCUCGGUUCAGAUGAAUUUGACUCAUGUCCUCUCUCCGCACACCCAACACAGCCCGUUAUCCUUUUCUCUCUCUCUCUCUCUCUCUCUCUCUCUCUCUCUCCCUCCCUCCUUUCUUCCUCUCUCUCUUUCUCUCUCUCCACUUCCCCAUCCCCCUUUCCAUUCCUCCUCCUGCUGGCCCAUCUCCGACUUACCAACUCUAUUUCGACUCAUUCAACCGAUUCAUUUGAGUCGACUCUUUUAAAACGACUCUUAUGACUUAUUCGGUGAUCAUUUUAUUCGCUUGACAAAAAGAAAUUGUCGAUGGUCCAGAAACACAGACGAGUCCAACAUGGCAGAGUGAUGAGUGACUGUGUUAUUAGUGAAUCUAUCAACAACAUGCUGAUAAAAAUGACUCAAAUAUUAUAAAAUAAAAAUAAUAACAAUUUUACCAACCA
This is a long non-coding RNA of Silurus meridionalis, 1084 nucleotides long. RefSeq lists it as uncharacterized. The record is from RefSeq and is a predicted model, not a curated record. The transcript is spliced from 3 exons. NCBI's taxonomy places the organism in Eukaryota, Metazoa, Chordata, Actinopteri, Siluriformes, Siluridae.